This 383-nucleotide ribosomal RNA is filed under the name uncultured Acidobacteriota bacterium. RNAcentral describes it as "bacterial SSU rRNA". It matches the Rfam family "Bacterial small subunit ribosomal RNA", at positions 8 to 405 of the family's 1533-position model. Lineage: Bacteria; Pseudomonadati; Acidobacteriota. The record is from RNAcentral.
AGAGUUUGAUCCUGGCUCAGAAUCAACGCUGGCGGCGUGCCUAACACAUGCAAGUCGAACGAGAAAGGGUAGCAAUACCUGAGUAAAGUGGCGCACGGGUGAGUAACACGUGACUAACCUACCCUGGAGUGGGGGAUAACUGAGGGAAACCUUAGCUAAUACCGCAUAAUACCUACGGGUCAAAGGAGCAAUUCGCUUCAGGAGGGGGUCGCGGCCGAUUAGUUAGUUGGCGGGGUAAUGGCCCACCAAGACAGUGAUCGGUAUCCGGCCUGAGAGGGCGCACGGACACACUGGAACUGAAACACGGUCCAGACUCCUACGGGAGGCAGCAGUGGGGAAUUUUGCGCAAUGGGGGAAACCCUGACGCAGCAACGCCGCGUGGA